This 450-nucleotide ribosomal RNA is filed under the name uncultured bacterium. RNAcentral describes it as "partial 16S ribosomal RNA". It matches the Rfam family "Bacterial small subunit ribosomal RNA", at positions 354 to 796 of the family's 1533-position model. The record is from RNAcentral.
GUGGGGAAUAUUGGACAAUGGGCGAAAGCCUGAUCCAGCCAUGCCGCGUGUGUGAAGAAGGUCUUCGGAUUGUAAAGCACUUUAAGUUGGGAGGAAGGGCAUUAACCUAAUACGUUAGUGUUUUGACGUUACCGACAGAAUAAGCACCGGCUAACUUCGUGCCAGCAGCCGCGGUAAUACGAAGGGUGCAAGCGUUAAUCGGAAUUACUGGGCGUAAAGCGCGCGUAGGUGGUUUUGUAAAUUGGCGGUUAAAUCCCCGGGCUCAACCUGGGAACUGCCUCCAAAACUGCAUGACUAGAGUACGGUAGAGUGUAGUGGAAUUUCCUGUGUAGCGGUGAAAUGCGUAGAUAUAGGAAGGAACACCAGUGGCGAAGGCGACUACCUGGACUGAUACUGACACUGAGGUGCGAAAGCGUGGGGAGCAAACAGGAUUAGAUACCCCUGUAGUCC